RNAcentral lists this ribosomal RNA (484 nucleotides) under uncultured bacterium. RNAcentral's name for it is "partial 16S ribosomal RNA". It matches the Rfam family "Bacterial small subunit ribosomal RNA", at positions 30 to 507 of the family's 1533-position model. The record is from RNAcentral.
AUUGAACGCUGGCGGCAGGCCUAACACAUGCAAGUCGAGCGGAUGAAGGGAGCUUGCUCCUGGAUUCAGCGGCGGACGGGUGAGUAAUGCCUAGGAAUCUGCCUGGUAGUGGGGGAUAACGUCCGGAAACGGGCGCUAAUACCGCAUACGUCCUGAGGGAGAAAGUGGGGGAUCUUCGGACCUCACGCUAUCAGAUGAGCCUAGGUCGGAUUAGCUAGUUGGUGGGGUAAAGGCCUACCAAGGCGACGAUCCGUAACUGGUCUGAGAGGAUGAUCAGCCACACUGGAACUGAGACACGGUCCAGACUCCUACGGGAGGCAGCAGUGGGGAAUAUUGGACAAUGGGCGAAAGCCUGAUCCAGCCAUGCCGCGUGUGUGAAGAAGGUCUUCGGAUUGUAAAGCACUUUAAGUGGGGAGGAAGGGCAGUAAGUUAAUACCUUGCUGUUUUGACGUUACCAACAGAAUAAGCACCGGCUAACUUCGUG